AUUUCUAGUGUCUUGGGUUGGGAAUGGCCUUACGUGAAGUCAUGGAUGCACACAAAGGAAUAAAUCCUAGUGCCCACCAAGAACUACACUCAGGUUUUUAAUAUUGAUGCCCACGAAUAUUACUCCGUUCUAAAAGAGACGGAGACUUACGUCCAUUUCCUUGCCAACAAUUUAUUAUACGAAAA
Molecule: unclassified non-coding RNA, 185 nt
Filed under: Oryza sativa (Asian cultivated rice)
Lineage: Eukaryota; Viridiplantae; Streptophyta; Magnoliopsida; Poales; Poaceae
Description: partial microRNA MIR489e precursor
Source: RNAcentral